This 429-nucleotide ribosomal RNA is filed under the name Pseudomonadota bacterium. Its description in RNAcentral is "Proteobacteria bacterium partial 16S ribosomal RNA". It matches the Rfam family "Bacterial small subunit ribosomal RNA", at positions 355 to 776 of the family's 1533-position model. The record is from RNAcentral. Lineage: Bacteria; Pseudomonadati; Pseudomonadota.
UGGGGAAUAUUGGACAAUGGGCGAAAGCCUGAUCCAGCCAUGCCGCGUGUGUGAAGAAGGUCUUCGGAUUGUAAAGCACUUUAAGUUGGGAGGAAGGGCAGUAAGCGAAUACCUUGCUGUUUUGACGUUACCGACAGAAUAAGCACCGGCUAACUCUGUGCCAGCAGCCGCGGUAAUACAGAGGGUGCAAGCGUUAAUCGGAAUUACUGGGCGUAAAGCGCGCGUAGGUGGUUCGUUAAGUUGAAUGUGAAAGCCCCGGGCUCAACCUGGGAACUGCAUCCAAAACUGGCGAGCUAGAGCAGGGCAGAGGGUGGUGGAAUUUCCUGUGUAGCGGUGAAAUGCGUAGAUAUAGGAAGGAACACCAGUGGCGAAGGCGACCACCUGGGCUCAUACUGACACUGAGGUGCGAAAGCGUGGGGAGCAAACAGG